CUUGAUGUUCGAAAACUCUCAGUCACGCCAAAAUUUAUGCAAUAGCCCGUGCGAUUUCCGAAACGAUAAGAAUGAAUGCAUUUUCAGUAUGAAUGAGGUAGUUUAUUAUUAGUCGGAGAAUAAGACGAAACAUUCUUCCAUAUUUUUAUGGAGUAAUUUGCUAUUAUAGCAACCAUUGGAAAAGUGUUCUUUCAUAAAUGUAUGAAGUUAUUACACUUGGAUUCGUUAUCAAGGAUAUCUUCCAUUAUGUAUGGAGUUAUUUGGUUUAGUUAGGGGAGAUUGUCUACUGCGUAGCAAUAUAUUAAAUAUAAGUUGUAUGAUUGGACUUUUUAUGCCUGAAGAAUGAAUGAGCGCGUUCGUGAAUCAUCAAAUAGCCAUCAAUUCAAGAUAGUUCAAAAUUUGAAACGAUUGACACUUGUAAAUAUGUUUUUAGUUUUCACCUUUGUACACUCAAGUUAAAUUUUCAAACCUGUACUCCUUUCAAACAUUACCGCUUAAAUUUAAACUUAGAAAAAUUAGUAUGGGCGAAUGUAACGAAUGUAAUUGUUACAUAGUUUUUUAUAUUUAAUGUUAAUAAAGAAAUUACACACAAGUUUUUAAUAUGUUCGUUCAAGUUUGUAGCUGCAUACCAGCCUUCACUAUGUUGCUUGUAUGCUAGCUUGUAUGUUGAUUUUAUCGUUUUAGCCGGUGGUGAGCUCUGUGUGUCAUUAUUAGAACCAGUCUGAGUUGAAUUAAUCGGGUUGCAUAUUCAAGGGCGCAUAAUCGAUAAUCCAGCAGCGAUGCUCGAUUAGCUGCUCGAUUGAUUUGAAAAUUCCUGACCGGAUACCAUUUUCACCGGAUACCUUUUCCAACCAAUCAGAAUUCAGAGAAAUCAAUAAAAGAAAAACCGGAAACCAACUUUCAGCCAAUCAAAAUUCAAAAGACGAAAACAAUAGCAGUGGGUCGACUUUGGGGCUUUGAUUUAUAUUCAAAACGAAAUUGGAGUUACUCUUGUGGAAACCGUUGGCGAGUGAAGAUCAGUUUAGAUCAAUUUUAAAGGUGUUUAAGCCAAAGUUACUCGCGGGUGAUAGCAUUUUUGAACGGUGAACUAUUUCGUUUUCGGUUUGUGGUUCAUUUAAGUAAAAAAGAGUGUCGAGCAAAAAUCGGUUGGAUAUACGGUGCCAAAUCCCAUUCAACGUGGGUGUUUGGGCAGGAAUCCGAGUCCGUACCGUCAGGACACUCGGUCGUCGCUAGGUGGCAAGCAGCCUAUCCACACCCAUUCCGAUUCCGGGGCCUAUAUAGUCCCGUCGAAUCCGCUGUGCGGCCACGCUAGACACGACGAUUGGAACCAGGACCGAACAACGAGUGCGUCGACGCCCUGUGUGACCUUCCUACGGUGGAACCAUAUGCCAGCUGGCCCUCAAGUAAGCCCGUUAGAUUUUGCACUCAUGAGCUCGAAGAAAAUCCCUGUAAAUAUUGUAAAUAGCACAAAGUAAAAGUUAGUUCGUAGUCCUUUAAAGUUUUUGUUUUACACUCUUUCGCCUAUUAAAUCCUUGAAUUAGAAUUGAAUUUGCAUUUUUUUUACUUCGUAGUUUGGGAAUAGUUUUAGAAUUAGUUUUGGGGUUCGUUUCUUGAUUUCUUUCGUUAUACUUUCACUAGUGACCGUGCGUCUCCAUAAAGUGCUCGAAUUUCGUUAGAAAAGGUAAGAGUAAAUUUAAGUGGUUUUUGCUAUUGGUAUAAGUGAAUUUAUUUGAGUCUUAAGGUAAGAAGUUGGGUCUCCGGUAUUGUAAUUGUUCUUUGAGUUAGAGAUUGAUUGGUGAAGUGAACUGUGGAGUUUGGGAAAUCCUACCUGCCCUGACAUAGGAGUUUUUUGGCCGGACUUAAACCGUACCAGUGGCCCUUCGCAAGAAGGUGGCGCUUAAGUCACUGAGUACCAGUAACCGAACCCGUAGUUUUCCUUGCUUUUUGGACCUCGAACUAAGGAGAAGGUUAC
Molecule: long non-coding RNA, 1972 nt
Organism: Aedes albopictus (Asian tiger mosquito)
Lineage: Eukaryota; Metazoa; Arthropoda; Insecta; Diptera; Culicidae
Exons: 3
Source: RefSeq, a predicted model, not a curated record